GCCGGGGUGCCCGAGCGGCCUAAGGGGCUGGCCUCGAGAGCCAGUGGGCUUCGGCCCUCGCAGGUUCAAAUCCUGCCCCCGGCG
Molecule: transfer RNA, 84 nt
Filed under: Nitrososphaerota archaeon
Lineage: Archaea; Thermoproteati; Nitrososphaerota
Also listed under: 2 other names
Description: Thaumarchaeota archaeon (hot springs metagenome) tRNA-Ser
Rfam family: tRNA
About the family: Transfer RNA (tRNA) molecules are approximately 80 nucleotides in length. Their secondary structure includes four short double-helical elements and three loops (D, anti-codon, and T loops).
Source: RNAcentral